This 668-nucleotide ribosomal RNA is filed under the name Klebsiella variicola. RNAcentral describes it as "bacterial SSU rRNA". It matches the Rfam family "Bacterial small subunit ribosomal RNA", at positions 784 to 1458 of the family's 1533-position model. The record is from RNAcentral. Lineage: Bacteria; Pseudomonadati; Pseudomonadota; Gammaproteobacteria; Enterobacterales; Enterobacteriaceae.
CCCCCAAAAGUCUUAAUUAGUGGGUUGAUGGGCCUUUGACGCGUUGUACUGCUGGAGCUAACGCGUUAAGUCCACCGCCUGGGGAGUACGGCCGCAAGGUUAAAACUCCAAUGAAUUGGACGGGGGGCCGCACAAGCGGUGGAACAUGUGGUUUAAUUUCAUGCAACGCGAAGAACCUUACCUGGUCUUGACAUCCAUCUAAAUUUCCAGAGAUGGAUUGGUGUCUUCGGGAACUGUAGAGACAGGUGCUGCAUGGCUGUCGUCAGCUCGUGUUGUGAAAUGUUGGGUUAAGUCCCGCAACGAGCCGCAACCCUUAUCCUUUGUUGCCAUCGGUAAGGUCGGGAACUCAAAGGAAACUGCCAGUGAUAAACUGGAGGAAGGUGGGGAUGACGUCAAGUCAUCAUGGCCCCUUACGACCUAGGGCUACACACGUGCUACAAUGGACUAUACAAAGAGAAGCGACAUCGCGAGAUGAAGCUGACCUCAUAAAAUAUGUCUCAGUUCGGAUUGUAGUCUGCAACUCGACUCCAUGAAGUUGGAAUCGCUAGUAAUCGCAGAUCAGAAUGCUACGGUGAAUACGUUCCCGGGCCUUGUACACACCGCCCGUCACACCAUGAGAGUGGGUUGCACAAGAAGUCGGUGGGUUAACCUUCUUGAAGGCGCUUACC